This 775-nucleotide long non-coding RNA is filed under the name Sorghum bicolor (sorghum). RNAcentral describes it as "long non-coding RNA (SBIC_LNC009728)". Lineage: Eukaryota; Viridiplantae; Streptophyta; Magnoliopsida; Poales; Poaceae. The record is from RNAcentral.
UUUAAAGUUCAUAGAUUUUGGAAAUUUAAAAUUUGCAAAUAACUCCAGAUGUUGACAUGGUCUAUCCAAAGUCGUAGCUAUCAACUCAAUCUACAACUUGUAGUUCAAAAGAUACUUAUUUGAAAUCAUCUAGAGUGUCAAAUAUGUGUGUUCUAAGUUCACAUAGUUAAUACGAAAGUUACUUAUUCAGAAUUCCUAUAAACAACAUUGAAUGUUCACAUUUAAUACGAAAGUUGUGGUGGCUGAUCUGAUCUAUAUAUUUGAUAUGGAUAAUUUUUCAAUUUGAAGUUCUUUAUUGUCUCAAAAUAUUUGUUUCAGGUUCAAAUAUUUUGAUAUUUAAAUUUUUGAUUUUUUCAAAAAAUCUCCACUAGAGACACAUCCUAUACCUAAGUUGUCGUACAUUACAAGAGUUUCAACUUAGUAGUUGAAACUUUUUAUAUAUGUUUGAGUUCAUAAAGUAGCCGGUUAAGUUGUCGUACAUUACACGAAGUUCAUACGGUUUGGCAGAGAUGGACGUGCUGCUCGCCUCCAUUCAGAGAAAGUGCCAGAGUCUGAAAAUACUUCGUGUAGUGGUGAUAUGUAAAAAAUAUUUUCGCAGGCACUACCUUAUGCGAGACCUUUGGAAAAGACGCCUGUAUUUUUGGUCUUCAUGAAUUGUACCUCUCCAUUCAUAAUUUGAGUUUUCCAUUGAAAAGUUAUGUACCUCUUCAUGAAUUGUACCUCUCCAUUCAUGAAGUGUAUAUUUUUGAACAUAGAGAGUAACAUCUUAAAUAAG